GAUCAGGAAGAACCUAGCAAAGCUGAAACCGAAUUUCACAGAAAGAAAAAGACCCAGAAAACUAAACUGCCUCACCAAAAAAAAGAAGAAAAAGAGAGAGAGAGAGAGAGAGAGAUAAUAGAAAAGGAGACCACCGUUAGGAAAGGCUUGUAAGCUUUAAAGUUUCUGGGGCUAAAGUGACUGAAUUUGAAACAGGCUUAAUUUUGAGAGGUAAGAAACAGAGAAAAAGGGAAGAUAGAAGAGUGUAAUUUGGCGGAGACUAAAAUGUAGUAGCUGGAAAACGAACGAACACAGAUCAAGGCCAAAUGGGUAUUGUACAAUUAAAGCGGAUAAUACUAAAUUUUGGAGAAUCUAAAGCAGAGGCGAUGAUCUCUACUCCGAAUUCUAUGUUUUCUUUAUGGCUACUGUUUAAAAACAAUAGGAAAAAAAUAAAAA
Molecule: unclassified non-coding RNA, 435 nt
Filed under: Hevea brasiliensis (rubber tree)
Lineage: Eukaryota; Viridiplantae; Streptophyta; Magnoliopsida; Malpighiales; Euphorbiaceae
Source: RNAcentral